Cornus florida is the source of this 3946-nucleotide RNA transcript. It is a transcript of the gene named zinc finger CCCH domain-containing protein 38-like, with no coding region annotated. The record is from RefSeq and is a predicted model, not a curated record. The transcript has 3 exons. Lineage: Eukaryota; Viridiplantae; Streptophyta; Magnoliopsida; Cornales; Cornaceae.
AUUCUCUCUCCCUCUCUCUCUCUCUCUCAACAGACCAGGGCUCUCAAUGGCGGACUCCUUAACUCGUUCUCAUGUUGAAGCCAGACUCUAGGGUUUCUCUCUUUGACACUGCAUGGCAACUUCUCUUUGAUUCCGCCUUUCCACAUUCUUGGUCAAUAGAGUUGUGCAAGUGCUGAAUCAAUCCAGUAGGCAGUUGAAUUUCCCAUACAUUGCCUGUACAUUCAUGGGGUUAAUGCAUGGAGGUUUUACCAAGUGCCUUCAAUAGUAGCUGAUGCAAUUAUAUUGGAAUAUCCUUCCCCAAAAGCAACAUUGUGCGUUGACACAUUAUUGGGUUAAACUUGAAGUUCUAGAGUGGAGAUUGUAUCAAACCUUCUUGAGAUAGCAAGAUAAAAAGCAAUGUUGUAUUACAAGAAUUUGGAAGAAUGCAACGGACUGCACAUUAAGUGUCAUUUGUAUACCAUGUUACCUGUUGAACAUUAGAGUCAUGCAGAAUUGAAGUUAACUUGAGGAGGUUGGCUAUGAAGGUGGAAAGAUAUCUUAUAUUGCACAAAAAGGCUGCAAUGCUGCAUUAUUUAUUAUGAGUGAUUGACCUUUUUGACCAUAAGAAAGUUGUUGGUACAUUUGGAGGAAUAAAUUUUGGAGUAAUUUGUACGAAAAAUCUGAACAUUUUAUCAAAAGUUGUAUAGAACAUUUAAAACUGUUUGUUAUAUGAAACUUUCGGUCAAUUGGAAGUAGAGAAGUGGCCGCUGCAAGAAGUUUCUUCUAGUAUUUUGUCUACUUGUUACUUCAUAAUUUAAGCUAGGUUAGACAUGGGACUUGAGAGUAUAAUCAUUGCAUUGUUUCCGUAAGUAAAUCAAAGUUGGCGUCAAUGGAACUCAUGAAUGCUAUUCCAAUGUUCAACAUUAUCCAUUAUUUUUCCAAAACAAUACACAAUAUUAAUAAGUUAAAUGAUAUAUUUUACAGCUUGCUGAAAUAACGCUGAUGAGAAAUUGGGUCAUUGAGGUGGUUGAAAAAUCUGGGGUUUUUAAUAAGAACUAACAUUUAGCAUUUUUCGUUGAAUUUUCCAUUAUUUAGGCUUGAUUUGGUUUUUCCUUGGAUGUCAAAUGACAUUUCUAUUAAUGAUAUUGGAGAACUGGCCAUUGAUAGAGAGCUAUUACUCAUUUUAUAUGAAAUUUAAUCUCCAUCUAGGUAGUUAAACAUAUUUUACUUAAGGAUAAAAUAUAUAUAUAUAUAUAUAUAUAUAUAUAUAUAUAUAUAUAUACAGAAUUGUUCGCAAGAAAAUGCAUGCACACUUGAAGUAGUAACCGUCAGAUUCUAUUUGGCAGUUAAAAAGGUAGUUUACGUUUUUAUAUCCAACGGUGAUGAUUUAAUUCGUGUAUAAAUUCCUUGCACACCAAUGAGCAGGUGAACAGUCGUAUAUAUAUGUGUGUGUGUGUGUGUGUGUGUGUGUGUGUGCGUAUACUUGUAGAAUCCUUUUGGUUGUUGAGAAAAGUAAGUUAAGGAAAGGAUAAAAAGAGCUGCUUUUCUCUACAACUAUUUCGUUUAAAGGAAAGUUUGUGGAAAGUAAGAUUUUAACAUUUCCACAAUGCAUAAUUCUGUAUAAAAUGUAGGAAAGGAUAAAAAAUGCAGUACUUGGUAUAAGUCCAAUAUAAGUGGGGCACAUAUACAGACGUAGAUUGUGCUAUUAUUUUGCGCAAAGUGGCUGCUAUGUGUAAAAUAAUUGGUGUGGCAAUUUGUUUUUGAAGGAGAAAAAAGUUAUUCGUGAGGCCCACUCUUUUUCUUGAUAGCCAAACACUCAAAUUAGUGAGGAAAAACAGUUCCUACUUUUUCUUUUACUUUCCUGUUAUUGAGAUGCUACACAAUAGUGCUAUAUGGAAACAUGGUUUGGCAUUUGUGAGCGAUUAAGUAAUAAAGAAUCAUUCUCUGAUUUCAUAUCUGAAAAUUACUGUGCAAUGCAUGUAUAUAACUUCAAUAGUUUAUGAUAAUAUAUGAUGGAUCCAAUUUCUUUAUGAUAAAAUUUUAUCAGUCUUAAAAGCCUUUAACUUGUAGUUAAACGAAUAAAUUGGGAUAUGCUAAUUUAAGCUGGGAGCCUGGGAACAAUGACAAACUAAUGACAAGUCUUGCUCUCGAUGCUGUUGAGGCGUGGUACAUCCUGUGUAACAUCUGGAAUGAAUUCUGUUUCUCCUUGAAAGCUCUAUAUGCUUGUUUAUUUAUGUGUUCUGAAAGAAUGUAAUAGAGGAUUUCUAGAGGGCUAGUUUUAGUGGAAGUUGGAGGCAUUUGAUGUUUAAGGGCUCAUUCAUAGAAGUUUUAUUUUCAUAUAAAUUUAUCCAUGAUUUUUUUUUUUUGUCCUUUUCUUUUAUGCACAAAUUUUUCUCUUUUUGCCUAGGUUUCCGCAGGAUUAAAUUUUAAUUUUCUCUUAUACAGUUGACUGCAAACAAAGUAGUAUUUCUCAAUUUCUCUGAAUGAUCUCUAUGGUGGAGAUUUUCAAAAGAUUUGUGCAUAUUUAUUUGUUUAGAUGCAAUAUAUAUAUGUUUUUUGUUUUUCACUUUUCUUUUUUGAUUUUUGAUGGGAGUUGGAAAUUUUUAUUAAAGAAACGAAGAAAGAGAAGAACUCAAUAGGAGUGGAAGAGAUUUCCUAUAGGAUGUAGAAUACAAGAGAAGAAGGAAAAAGACAAUUCAAAACGAAAAGCAAGAAAGGAAACAAAGCGCGAAUAGAGGAGGAAGUGAUUUUUAGGAUAACAUACUAAUGAGAUGCUCUAAAGGGGCAGACUCCGAACCCUUCAAUAGAUAUUGAGUGCUUUGCAAAUCUAGGGCUGAGAUGCUGUAUCAUUUAUUAAUCCAUUGCCCCUCACUUGUCGAUAUCAACUUAUUGAUGAUUUCAUCCAUUUCUUGCUUGUUUUCUGGAAUUCAUGGUUGGAAAGAAAUGCUUGAAAUUCAUAAGACACUUAUACCUCUUUGGAAGAAGUCUGGGAUGAAGUGCACUCAUGUCUUCCCUCUGUGCUACUUCCAGUUAAAAGUUCAAAGGUAUCUCUAUUGCUGGAUUAGGAUUUGAAAUCAACUACAUUACCUAUUGGUACCUGUUUUCAGUUGAUGUACCUAAAUUCAGCUUGGUGGCUAUUUGAUAGGUAAUCAUGCCAACAUAUAAAGGGCAUCUUAGAAAUCAAGAAGGCAAUGUUAUCACGUAUGUAUCAGCCCUUGUUCUCCUUUUGAAUGCUCCUAUCGUAUAGUAUUAAAGUUUAGUUUUCUAUAAAAAAAGAAAAAGAAAAAGAAAAAGAGAUUUAUUUUAGCAUAUAAAAGAAAGGAAAUGAAAUAAAAAUAUACAAAAGAAAAAAUGUAUUAAACAGUUUAUUAGCUAAACAGUAGGAAUCCCUUGGUGGUUUGUGACAUUGAGGUCUCAUUGGGAUUGAGUUGUAGAUAUAUAUAUAUAUAUAUAUAUAUAUAUAUAUAUAUAUAUAUUUUUUUUUUUCUCCCCCUGAAAGAGCUGAAUAUGCUAAUUUGAAAGCCCUGCAAAUUUUGUUUUUCUUGUGUUUAAAAUGCCAUGUGAGCUUGUGGAACUGGAACCUGAGUUCUAAACUUCCUUUAGAGACCCAAUAUUUGUUUUCCCCACCAAAGAUAUGGCUAAAAGCUGAAGCUUUUAAGAAUAUGAUUAGACACGUAUUCUGUUUUUUGCCACAUUGAAAGUACACCAGGAAAAAAGAAAAUUAAGUUCUCUUCUAUUUGGAUUUUGGAAGCAUGUCUAUGGUAUUUUCCUCUGCAGAAAUGUUUUCCAAGUGAAAGCUUAAGUUUGGGGAGGAAGCAAAUAAAUCAUUGAAUUAUGGAAGUGCAAAUGGAUUGUGCAAAGGAUUUGUGGAAAUUUUAUAGUAGUGUCAGGAAUAUUCUUGAAUUGGUAAAAGAGGAAUAUAUGUACAUGGAGGCUCUCUCUCUCUCUCUCUCUCUCUCUCUCUCUC